Long non-coding RNA from Monodelphis domestica (gray short-tailed opossum), 7488 nucleotides. RefSeq lists it as uncharacterized. Lineage: Eukaryota; Metazoa; Chordata; Mammalia; Didelphimorphia; Didelphidae. The record is from RefSeq and is a predicted model, not a curated record.
GUUUUACUCGCCCCACCCACCACUCCCGGAAAUCUGCUGGUGGGGACUGGUAAUAGUCCCGGGGUUGCGAGCCCUAGAGCUGGGGUGCCGGAAGAGCUGUGCACGGGACCGUGGCUAACCAUGCGCGCUGCUUCCACCGCCGGACCCUGGUCCGUAAGACUAAGAAAAACCACAGGAAGCGUCCACAAAAAUUGAUGCUGAGCAAGGACAGAAGAGGAUCUUGGGGCUUUACUCGUAAGGCGGACUAUGUUAUCCUCAUUUUCAAAAACAAAAAGAAAAUGAAGAAAGAAAAGAAAAAAAAGAAUGUAAAGAAGAAAAAAAAGAAAAGAACAAAGCCUGCACACUUUUAUUAGCCUGUAUUUUGAGACCAUUGUCAGGCAUAAGGUAGUCCCUCUUAAAAGGAUGCAGCUGCCAACCUGUUGAGACUUUGUCCAGCUACCAAGUUUAUGUUUAAGGAACGGCCUUUGGGCAACCCAGAAACAUUGGGGAAAACAACACCUGAAUAAAUUUGCAUGCUGAGGAUAACAUAAAAUGAUAGGAGUCAAUUCAAUGCAAAGCUUUACUGAAAGCAAAAGAGGACUAACAUACAACUCAGGCAUACACGCUGAAAAAAAUCAAAUAAAUGUUGUUUUGGCAUUUUAUAUUCCAUUCCUUUCUAUAAAAUUGAUUCUUAAAACAAACAAAAAUCCUUACCUACUGUCUUGGAAUUAAUUAUAUAUAUAUCCAUUCCUAGGCAAAAGAGUGGUAAAGGCUAGGCAAUCAGAGUUAAGUGACUUGCCCAGGGUCUCAUGGCUAGGAAGUCUCUGAGGCCAAAUUUGAACCCAGGACUUCUCAUCUCCAGACCUAGUGCUCAAACCACUGAGACACCCAACUAUUCCCCGCUGUAAUUGAUUCUAUUCUGCAACUGCCUGGGCCAAUUUGCUUUCUUUCUCCUUUAAAAAUACUAAUCAAUGAAUUUAUUAUGGAUAUAAACUGAUUUUAUACUCUACUUGCUGUACUAAAAAGUAUCUUUUGUUUAUAUAAUUGAAGGGAAGCUCAUAAGUGAACUUCUCUUCAGGCCAGGUGCAAGGAUGCCAAGGAGACUCUUGUUAUACAAAAAUAAACUAUUGAGAAUAUAAGGAUAUACAAGGAUUUCUAACUCUAAGGGAUUCUAACCCCACCCAAAUAAAACUCCCUGGUUCCACAAGGAACAACUUCUCCUGUUUCCUGUGGGAAGGAAAUCACUUUAAAAGACUGAUGAUCCUUCCUGAUCUGACUAACCCAAAUUUUCCCUAUUCUUCAAUAAACUAAUACUAUUUCCUUAUAAGAAGUAUAUAAUUCUUAACUUUGUCUCCAAGUUAUAAAAAUAAUAAAGGCUACCUGGCUGAGCCUCAGCAAGAACCAAGUUAGGACUCUGAGCCUUAAUAGACUCAGAGUCCAAAUCAAAGACCAGGUCUUUCUUUGGUCUCCCCUGUAAAGAUUAAAUUUUAGGGAAUAUGGGGAGACUGAGGCAUCUGAGGCAGGUAGAAAUUAGUUUCUCUCUGCAAGGAGUAUUAUAUUUUUUAGAGGUUUAUUAAAGGUUAAAGAUUAAAGAAUAUACAAGUAAGAAACAUGUGCCUAGGCCAGAGACCUAGACAAAAUAACCUCACAUCACGCAAGAGACCGCCUGCUCCAAAACGGAAGUCCAAAAAGAGCCAAGAGAGAGCGACCCUCAAAAGCCUUUGAAUCAGCUUAAAUACCUUCUUGAUCUCAGCCCAGGUGAGAUUACAAGGCAUUCUGGAGAAGUGGAGCAAAGGCUCGUGGGGAUUGUAGUCCUGUAUUUGAGUCUAUUUUUUACAUUCCCCCGUGUGAUCAUUUUUGGAAAAAUUAAUUUUUCCCCAAAAGAGAGUUAAUCCUGUCUUUAGUCUAGUGAGUUACUAAGUAAGGGUACUUAAGUUAUUGUUAUUCCAAAGUGUUAACUCUAACUAGUCAAAGAGAACAAAGGAUUCCCUUUUCUCAAGUCCAAACUCAGAACAGACAAAGAGAACCAAGAAUUUCCUUUCACAAAAUGGAAAGUAGAAGGUACUGCUCUGUGCUCAAACCCUCCUCAGAAAAGGUGAGCAAGUGCCUGUCUCCAAGAAUGGAUCAGCUCUGCAGCUGUCUCUUAAUGGCGCCAAUACUGGCUUUCUUUCUGGGCUCAGGGACAGAGGAGCUUCUUAGGGCUCUUUCUGGCCUGUGACCUCUCCCAUGACUUGGAGAUUCCAGGGUACCCCAUGCUCCACUACAAAGUGACUGGCUCAGGGUCUCACAGCAAGAAAGUGUCUGAUUUCAGAUGGGAACCUAGGCCCUUCCAUCUCUUGACCUGGCUCUCAAUCCCUGGAGCUGCUGAGCUACCCCCCCUAGUCCUGUAGAAUGAAGGGAGAUCUGGGGUCUUGCUAAGAAUCCAUCCAAGAUGCAGGUGGGUGCCAUGAAGUCUGUUCUCUCUGCAUCCUUGGCUGUCUUUUCGGAGGUCAGGUCUGCUAUCACGGUGACCCUCACUAGUCACAAGAUGGAAGGAGGGGGCUCUCCACAUUUCAUCCAAACCUACUGUUUUCUGUCAUCCAUAAUCCUGUGGACUUUUCCAAUUCUGUUUUCCAUCUACGAUGCUGCCUGAUCUUUGUUCUCUUGUUCUUCUCUGGAUCAUAUGAAGGUGAGGAAGGCCUGCCUGGUGGUCUUUCCAUUUCCUGGUAUUUUUCCCUGAGUUGGUUUUAGAGCACCUUUAGAAGCACUUUUACAGCCACCUUCAAUGGGAGACUGUUUGAGUGGUCUCAGAACUUUUGGGUCUAGUCUUAGAACAAUGGUUUCCAUUCCUCUCUCAGAACCAGCCUAAACUUAGAGCAACCCAGGACUUUCUCUGGGGGCUUCUAAGGGUCUGCCUUUAGCCCACAGGCAUUCCCACAUUUGGUAUAGUCAGAGUUUCACUGUGUAAGAAUUCUGUUAUGGUCACUAACACUUGUAUUUUAACUUAGGCUUUCCCUUUGGAAGGCUUCCAGGGGCCUCCCUCCAGGACCAGGUUCAGUAAGACAAGCCCCUGAUGGGUCCUAAAAUCGGGUUUAUUGUUUCUUUUUCCCAAAGGGUUUCCCAUACAUCUAUCCAUAAAGCUUUGCUCCAACCAGCAUGUCAUUGAAUGAGGUCUGAGUGGUACCAAAGGCUUCCUUCUCUUCUCCCUUUGGUUUGACUGUCAUGAGUUCAGGAAAGGCCUUUAGGGGGGCCAAGUGGAGGGAACUGUAAGCCACUGGACUGGAAUGAUCCCUCUGGAUGGAAUGAAUGCAGAGAACGAGCCAUUAGAGAACUCCUAGUGGAAUGGAAUCAGUGGGGGACUGGAAAUAACAAGAGCACCCAAGGAGCAACCGUAAGGGUCUUUAAUCCCAAGGCAAGGGGAUUGCAACUCAGGCUCAUCUGCCAGCUGUAGAGUACAGGAACCCCCAAAGAGGGCCAGAAGCUGCAGGGUAGGAAGACACUUGUGUAGGAGGAGUGAUUCACAGCUCCCUGGAUCAAAGGGAUCCAGGUGGGAUUACCAUCUGUUUUUUGAAGUCUUUACCUUCUCUUAGUAACCACUCUAAAGGUAGAAGGUCCGGCACCUAACACAUGGGAAUUAAGUGAUUUGCCCAGGGCCACAUAGCUGGGAAGUGUCUGAGGUCACAUUUGACCCCAGGUCCUUCCAACUCCAGACCUGGAGCUCAGAUCUAUUGAGCCACCCAGCUCUCCCUGGGAUCUGAACAACUCAAGGGCUCCAGGUGUGAUCCCUACAUUCUCAUUAGUAUCUCCAGACCUUCUCCAGCUUUGAGGCAGUGAAGUGCAGGUGCCCCCCUCUGAUAACUGCAUUUAGGAGCCCUUUAAAGGAAAAGGAUUCACUGAGCUCUCAGCAAGUAUAGCUAAGUGUUGGUUCUCUCAGAAAGCAGACCUCUGGGGACAUAGAUAUGCCGGAAAAGAACUACCCUCCUUCCCAGGGUUCCCCAGUGAUUCAUCAUAGAAGCAAUUGUAUGAGGAAUGAGAAGCCAGAAGUGGAGGAAAUGAACCCCACCUCCCCUGGGCCUAAGGAUGGUACCCUAGAGAGCACCCUACUCGAGGGAAUGGCAGCAUUUGGAAUUAGUCACUGGAAUAGAAAGUGAUUCUCCCCUGCCCCCUCUCUACCCCAUACUAGGCAGCAGUGGUGUUCCUCAAGGCAUUUGUUUCUACUGUCAUGAAAGCCUGAGAACAGCCAGGUGGACCAAUAGAUAGAACAUAAGACUUGGCGUUGCAAAGACCCAAGUUCAAAUCCAGCCUCAGAAACUUGCUAGCUAUGGGACCCCGGGCAAGUUCUUUAGCCCAGUUUGUCUCACUUUCCCCCUCUAUAAAAUGGGAAUCAUAACAGCACCUACCCCCUCUGGUGGUUGGAAGGACAAACUGAGGUGAUGUUUAGCACAGUGCCCAGCAGAGAUGGUGCCAUAUCAAUGCUCAUUCUAGGACUAAAUAAUGAUUUUGGGACAUGAGUCAAGUCAUAACCCUACAGCUCAUGUGUGUUUAGAGCUAUGACUUACCAAGUCAUUCACUUGUAAACUAGAAAGUGCCCAAAGCCUUUGGGACUUGUGUUUAUAUGGGGUUUUUUUGCUGCUAAAGGAGGUAAGAAAAAUGCAAGCAACAUUCUGAAGAUGCCAAACCAUUUUGACUAGAUGUACUCAGCCAGGAACCCAGCAUGUUCAACAGUCACUAAAGCCUGAGGCAUUAUUUGAAUAACUUCCUUAGAAUUCAUUGUGAUCCAAACAGAUAUAAAGAAAAAAGAAAUUAUUAGAAGGAUUGGCUUUGGCCAGAAGCUAGAAUUAUACUAUACCAUUGUAAGAAUUUAAAUGUCAGUUUUUAUGCUAAUAUGAAAGUUCAUGUGGUUGCUGAAUUUAAAAAUUAAUGCGUAAGUCACAAGUCUGUUAGCCACUCUUAACAAUUUAGUUUAACAGAGAUAUAUAGUAAAAGAGAGAAAUGUAGGAAGUAAAUUGCCUAGCUAGAUACCCUGUAAUUUCUGUCUGAAGAAGUUCACCUCACCUCUUGGCAAGGGCUCUCAAAUCCCGACCUCCACAUGGAGUCAUGGUAGUCUCUGAGCCAGAAGUCCCAGUGGUGUCUUCAGCAAGGGUUCCACCAACACAGCCUCCUCCAGGAAAGGAAGGCCUCUCCAGAACCAAUCUCUCUAGAAGCCAGGAAAAGAAGGCCAGCUACUCACCUAGCAAGCUGACACAGGAUCCAGGGAAAGAAUCUCCUCCUUCAGUUCAGCUCACCCACACAGAGUGUCCAAAGACAAACUCCAAAGAAGAAGAAAUUCAAAGGAGAAGCCCCUUGAACAGGAAGUUCAGGACUUUUUAUAGUCCUUUUUCCACAUCACUUCCUAUCACUUCCCCACUUUACAGGAACCAAUCCCAGUCUUUCAAUUUGCCUAGCAUGGACCAAGGGCCUCUGGAAUUGUCACCCACUCUAGCAAGUGAUGUGUGAACUCUCUUAGUGUCAGGAAGGGGUACUUUAAGUUUUUAUUUUGAUUAGUUAAAAAUAGGCAAGAGGAAGGUUAAUCCUAUCUUCACGCCAUGUUGGGGAAACCCAGAGAUUAGGUAUUUAUUUUUUAAAAACCCUUUCCCUCUGUCUUGGAAUCUAUAUCAGUUCUAAGGCAGAAUUGCAGCAAAAAUUAGGCAAUUGGGCUUAAGUGACUUGCCCAGGGUCACACAGCUAGGAAAUAUCUUGAACCCAACUGCAGACCUCCCAAUUGCAGGCCUGGAUCUAUCUACUGAACCAUCUAGUUGGGUCUAGAAUGAGAAGUUUAACUGGAGGCUCCUGGAGGCAGUCAAGAUGGCAGAAAAAGAGGAAUCAAUUAAGCCUAACUCACCACUUUCCCUUCUCCAUAAAUGACCUGGAAAAUGCACCCAUUCAAAUGCUGACUGGAAAAAAACAAGAAAAAGUCACAACAAACCAUUUUCCAAUCUAGGACACCUUAAUGAGACAGAAAUACAGGAUGAAAGACAUUAUCUGUCCAGGUAUACCUGGAGCAUUCCAGUGCCCAAGAAUGUAAGAAAGACUGGGGAAAAGCAUCAAAGCAGAAAGAGAUCCAUGAACAAAAUGAAUACUGGAUCCAUCUCAUAGGAGAUCUUGAAGGAAAGGACAGAUAGUCCCUUAUGAAGACCUUUUGGUUCAGGGAUAUAGAACAUGUUAUGAGUCCCAUCCAAUGUAAUCCAACCCAAGAAAUAUUUCUUGAGCACCUGUGAGAUACCAGCCACCAUGUUAACUGCUGGAGAGCUAAUGAAUACAAAGAGAUACCUCCUGCCCUAAAGGGGCUCACAAGCUAAUGGAGAGAAACAAUACACAAAAAAAGCAAGAAAGUCAGGGUAGACUGCAGGGGUAUCCUGAACGGGGCCAUCUUGUUCUGUAGACUUGGGUGGAGAGAAUACAGAUGCCCAGCCCUGCUCUCUCUCAAGGAAAGCAUUGUGUGGAGUUGGUCUCCAACCCUCCAACUCUCUGGUCAGAGGUGAGAAGAGGCUGAAGGAGGUGAUUUCAAUCAAGGCCUGAAUGAACAGCUUGCAGGUGAGUUAAGCAGUAAGGAGCUUAAACUAGUGGGAGGAGCAUCUUGUUUGGAGGAGUCCAAAUAGGCAGAGUCCAUGGGUAUAUGGAGAAUCCCAGCCUGAGAGUUGGGGGAUGUGUGAUUUCUCAGAGUUCACACCUCUCUGAAGCUACCAUAAAUAGCAGCUCCUCAGUGGCACUCUCAGAACUGGGAGUCGGCAACAGCAGCACAGAGGAGAAGCUGGGGAAGGAAGGAGCAUGGAGGAGCCCAGUGAACGAGACAGGAGUAUUCUUGGACUCUAUGAUAGUCUCCUCAUCAGUCUGCAGAACCUCCUCACCUGUCCAGUCUGCAAAAGUUAUUACGAUAAACCUGUAACCUUAUUUAGCGGCCACACCUUAUGUCAGUCCUGCCUUCCCCAAGAAUCCCAAACUGUCCACAUCAAGACCGACUGGAGGAUACAGAAUAUGGCAAACCUGGUCAAGGUGUUGAAACCAAGCCUGGAAGAGCCUCAAUCUGUCUCAGAGAGAUAGUGCUUCAGGCAUGAUGAACCCUUCACCCUCCUCUGUGAAGAAGACAAGCAGGAAAUCUGCCAGAUCUGCAAGUUCUCCAUCCUUCACAGGGGCCAUAACCUGACCCAACUACAAGACCUAGAAGCAUGUCUGGAGGUAAGUUGGCCAAACAAGCCAUCUUAGACCUGUGGGCCACCACUGAAUUCUCUUCCCCCGGCCUCUCAUAGAGAAGAAUACAGGAAGCACCACCAUCCAUCCUGUGUUCAGUCCACCCCCAUCCAUCCCCUCUGCUGUCCUCCCUGGAAAACAAGUCUCAGUUUCCCAUGGACAGCAUCAUGAGGAAGACAGAAUCCAAGAUGGAAGGAAUCCCUCAACUGGAGCAUCUUCCCAGCCUACAUUCUGUCAUGCCUGCCACCUGCUGGCCUAUUUGGUGACUAACCUUGAAUAAAGUUUCUUCUCUGACCUAUUGGA